GGGCUCGUGGCUUAGCCUGGUUAUAGCACCUCGCUUACACCGAGGGGGUCACCGGUUCAAAUCCGGUCGAGCCCA
RNAcentral lists this transfer RNA (75 nucleotides) under Methanobacteriota archaeon. RNAcentral describes it as "Euryarchaeota archaeon tRNA-Val". It matches the Rfam family "tRNA". Rfam says of the family: Transfer RNA (tRNA) molecules are approximately 80 nucleotides in length. Their secondary structure includes four short double-helical elements and three loops (D, anti-codon, and T loops). The record is from RNAcentral. Lineage: Archaea; Methanobacteriati; Methanobacteriota.